This 986-nucleotide ribosomal RNA is filed under the name uncultured marine bacterium. RNAcentral's name for it is "bacterial SSU rRNA". It matches the Rfam family "Bacterial small subunit ribosomal RNA", at positions 55 to 1035 of the family's 1533-position model. The record is from RNAcentral.
AUGCAAGUCGAGGGGCAGCAUAAAUUACUUGUAAUUUGAUGGCGACCGGCGAACGGGUGCGUAACGCGUAUGCAACUUACCUUUUACUAGAGAAUAGCCAAGAGAAAUUUUGAUUAAUGCUCUAUGUUCUCAUUUACUCGCAUGAGUAAAUAAGCAAAGCUCCGGCGGUAAAAGAUGGGCAUGCGUCCUAUUAGCUUGUAGGUGAGGUAAUGGCUCACCUAAGCUCCGAUAGGUAGGGGUCCUGAGAGGGAGAUCCCCCACACUGGUACUGAGACACGGACCAGACUUCUACGGAAGGCAGCAGUAAGGAAUAUUGGACAAUGGAGGCAACUCUGAUCCAGCCAUGCCGCGUGAAGGAAGACGGCCUUAUGGGUUGUAAACUUCUUUUAUACAGGAAGAAACCUUUCCACGUGUGGAAAGCUGACGGUACUGUAAGAAUAAGGAUCGGCUAACUCCGUGCCAGCAGCCGCGGUAAUACGGAGGAUCCAAGCGUUAUCCGGAAUUAUUGGGUUUAAAGGGUCCGCAGGCUGUUUGUUAAGUCAGAGGUGAAAUCCUACCGCUCAACGGUAGAACUGCCUUUGAUACUGGCAAACUUGAGUUAUUGUGAAGUAGUUAGAAUGUGUAGUGUAGCGGUGAAAUGCAUAGAUAUUACACAGAAUACCGAUUGCGAAAGCAGAUUACUAACAAUAUACUGACGCUGAGGGACGAAAGCGUGGGUAGCGAACAGGAUUAGAUACCCUGGUAGUCCACGCCGUAAACGAUGGUCACUAGCUGUUCGAUGUACAUUGGUACAUUGAGUGGCUAAGCGAAAGUGAUAAGUGACCCACCUGGGGAGUACGCUCGCAAGAGUGAUACUCAAAGGAAUUGACGGGGGCCCGCACAAGCGGUGGAGCAUGUGGUUUAAUUCGAUGAUACGCGAGGAACCUUACCAGGACUUAAAUGUAAGUUGCAUGAUUCAGAAAUGAAUCUUUCUUCGGACUACUACA